This is a long non-coding RNA of Oncorhynchus tshawytscha (Chinook salmon), 561 nucleotides long. NCBI's taxonomy places the organism in Eukaryota, Metazoa, Chordata, Actinopteri, Salmoniformes, Salmonidae. The record is from Ensembl.
UUAAAGUCUACCGGUCUAACUCUCUAUCCUGCCUUCUAUGCGCCAUUCAUAGUGGCAAUAGUGGAUCCUUUCUUGCUGAUGAAAGAUAAGGGCCAUGUGUUUCGAAAACCGUAGGAACCUUGAAAGGACUCCUUGCCCUAUCCUUGUAGCAGCACAACCAAGGGGGAGGAGAAUGGGCCUGCCAAUAAAACAAAAUAGCCUUCCAAGUGGAAAGUAGAGGUUUGGAAGAGAAGGAUGCCGGGUAAAUCCUACUUUGGCAGGGAAAAGAUAAUUGAGUUGACUAUGACUAUUCAUAUCUGCAUUGUUUGAUUAUUUAUUACAUACAUGAUUCUUACUAGAAAACUUUUAUUCCAUGCUGAAAUGUCUGAUUUGCAUACUAGUAACAUGAUUAAUAGUGAAAUUUCGAUAUGAAUGGUUUUACUGUUGUACCAUUUACCUGAUACUACUUGAUAUUUCAAUCUGAGUAAAAAAUUCAACAUCACACUUUGUGUAAAUAGUUUUAGGACGCAUUCACAAUCACAUUUACCUGAAAUUAUAUUGUGAAAUAAAUGUUAAUUCAUG